This 72-nucleotide transfer RNA is filed under the name Stegodyphus mimosarum. It matches the Rfam family "tRNA". Rfam says of the family: Transfer RNA (tRNA) molecules are approximately 80 nucleotides in length. Their secondary structure includes four short double-helical elements and three loops (D, anti-codon, and T loops). Further hydrogen bonds mediate the characteristic L-shaped molecular structure. tRNAs have two regions of fundamental functional importance: the anti-codon, which is responsible for specific mRNA codon recognition, and the 3' end, to which the tRNAs corresponding amino acid is attached (by aminoacyl-tRNA synthetases). tRNAs cope with the degeneracy of the genetic code in two manners: having more than one tRNA (with a specific anti-codon) for a particular amino acid; and 'wobble' base-pairing, i.e. permitting non-standard base-pairing at the 3rd anti-codon position. The record is from Rfam by way of RNAcentral. Lineage: Eukaryota; Metazoa; Arthropoda; Arachnida; Araneae; Eresidae.
GCCUUCGUGGUGUAGUGUUCAGCACAUUUGAUGCGUAUUCGAGAGUCUGUGGUUCGAGUCCCGGUGAAGGCA